RNAcentral lists this ribosomal RNA (600 nucleotides) under uncultured bacterium. RNAcentral describes it as "bacterial SSU rRNA". It matches the Rfam family "Bacterial small subunit ribosomal RNA", at positions 96 to 721 of the family's 1533-position model. The record is from RNAcentral.
CGGCGGACGGUGAUAAUGUCUGGAACUGCUUAUGAGGAUACUACUGAACGGUAGCUACACCGCNUACGUCGCAGACAAAGAGGGGGACUUCGGGCUCUGCCAUCAGAUGUGCCCAGAUGGGAUUACUAGUAGGUGGGGUAACGGCUCACCUAGGAAUCCCUAGCUGGUCUGAGAGGAUGACCAGCCACACUGGAACUGAGAACACGGUCCAAACUCCUACGGGAGGCAGCAGUGGGGAAUAUUGCACAAUGGGCGCAAGCCUGAUGCAGCCAUGCCGGUGUAUGAAAAAGGCCUUCGGGUUGUAAAGUACUUUCAGCGGGGAGGAAGGUGUGUGGUUAUAACCACAGCAAUUGACGUUACCCGCAAAGAACACCGGUAACUCCGUGCCACACCGCGGUAAUACGGAGGGGUGCAAGCGUUAAUCGGAAUUACUGGGCGUAAAGCGCACGCAGGCGGUCUGUCCAAGUCGGAUGUGAAAUCCCCGGGCUCAACCUGGGAACUGGAUUCGAAAACUGGCAGGCUAAGUCUUGUAAGGGGGGUCAAAAUCCAGGUGUACCGGUGAACUGCGUAAGAUCUGGAGGAAUACCCGGUGGCAAAAGG